Molecule: ribosomal RNA, 571 nt
Filed under: Staphylococcus sp. YC6893
Lineage: Bacteria; Bacillati; Bacillota; Bacilli; Caryophanales; Staphylococcaceae
Description: bacterial SSU rRNA
Rfam family: Bacterial small subunit ribosomal RNA
Source: RNAcentral
CAGAUAAGGAGCUUGCUCCUUUGACGAUUAGCGGCGGACGGGUGAGUAACACGUGGGUAACCUACCUAUAACACUGGGAUAACUUCGGGAAACCGGAGCUAAUACCGGAUAACAUUUGGAACCGCAUGGUUCUAAAGUGAAAGAUGGUUUUGCUAUCACUUAUAGAUGGACCCGCGCCGUAUUAUCUAGUUGGUAAGGUAACGGCUUACCAAGGCGACGAUACGUACCCGACCUGAGAGGGUGAUCGGCCACACUGGAACUGAGACACGGCUCCAUACUCCUACGGGAGGCAGCAAAUAUGGAAUCUUCCGCAAUGGGCGAAAGCCUGACGGAGCAACGCCGCGUGAGUGAUGAAGGGUUUCGGCUCGUAAAACUCUGUUAUUAGGGAAGAACAAACGUGUAAGUAACUGUGCAUGUCUUGACGGUACCUAAUCAAAAAGCCACGGCUAACUACGUGCCAGCAGCCGCGGUAAUACUUAGGUGGCAAGCGUUAUCCGGAAUUAUUGGGCGUAAAGCGCGCGUAAGCGGUUUCUUAAGUCUGAUGUGAAAGCCCACGGCUCAACCGUGGAGG